RNAcentral lists this ribosomal RNA (253 nucleotides) under uncultured bacterium. RNAcentral describes it as "partial 16S ribosomal RNA". It matches the Rfam family "Bacterial small subunit ribosomal RNA", at positions 524 to 776 of the family's 1533-position model. The record is from RNAcentral.
GACGAACCGUGCAAACGUUGUUCGGAAUCACUGGGCUUAAAGGGCGCGUAGGCGGGUUCCCAAGUCGGUGGUGAAAUCUUUCAGCUCAACUGGAAAAGUGCCGCCGAUACUGGGAGUCUUGAGGGAGGUAGGGGUCGAGGGAACUAAUGGUGGAGCGGUGAAAUGCGUAGAUAUCAUUAGGAACGCCGGUGGCGAAAGCGCUCGACUGGACCUCUUCUGACGCUGAGGCGCGAAAGCCAGGGGAGCAAACGGG